This 459-nucleotide ribosomal RNA is filed under the name uncultured bacterium. RNAcentral describes it as "partial 16S ribosomal RNA". It matches the Rfam family "Bacterial small subunit ribosomal RNA", at positions 338 to 795 of the family's 1533-position model. The record is from RNAcentral.
CCUACGGGUGGCAGCAGUGAGGAAUAUUGGUCAAUGGGCGCGAGCCUGAACCAGCCAAGUCGCGUGAGGGAAGACGGUCCUAUGGAUUGUAAACCUCUUUUGGCGGGGAGCAAAAGACGCCCCGCGUGGCGUUCCGAGAAUAACCGAAGAAAAAGCAUCGGCUAACUUCGUGCCAGCAGCCGCGGUAAUACGGAGGAUGUGAACGUUAUCCGGAUUUGUCGGGUUUAAAGGGUGCGAAGGCGGAAGAUCAAGUCGGUGGUAAAAUUGAGAGGUUCAACCUCUUAGAGCCGUUGAAACUGGUGUUCUUGAGUGAGUGAGAAGUAUGCGGAAUGCGUGGUGUAGCGGUGAAAUGCAUAGAUAUCACGCAGAACUCCGAUUGCGAAGGCAGCAUACCGGCGCUCAACUGACGCUCAUGCACGAAAGUGUGGGUAUCGAACAGGAUUAGAUACCCUAGUAGUC